CCGACCUGGGGGCACUACUCCGUGCGCAGGGGCAGUGGGUCCGGGCAGCCUUCCUGGGGCGCGCCGCUCCGUGCGCAGGCGCAGUGAGCCCAGGCGGGCAGCUCGGGCCAGCAGCUCUCGGUCCUGUGGCUGGAGGCUGAAGUCCACGAAGGACCCGGUGGGGAGGGUGGCACGUUGUCCCAAGUAUCCUAAAGGGAGAGGUGUGUACAUCCACAUUUGAAAGAAGCAUUUUAGAACUUGAGCUCCAUGACAACAGGGACCUUACCUGUAUUGCUCAUUCUGUGUCUGGCUGGAAAAAAGCUCUCACUGUAUCCCAAAAGAACGGUGAUAAUUCUAGAUUCUGGCUGUAAUGAAAUCAACAACCCCAUCGAUUUACAAGGUACCAAGAUUCUCAUUCCAAUGAAGAAUAUUCUGGAAAAGAAACUUUUCACCUUUUCAAACCAUGAACAAUAUGUGACGUUUCGAGUGGGGCUCACGGAGUAGGAAGCUUUCCUUGAUGCUAUUGAUGUGAGCACAAUGGUUUUGUGAAAAACUGGAAAUGGCGGCCUUGAGAAUCUCUGGUGAUUUCAUUUAGCUGUGCAGUGGGCUUCUACUUUCUCUAUGCCUGGUUCGGAAUAUUAGAAGAGAUGGCAAUGAUUCUGGAGUGGAUUACACCAUUUGACUGAGGAACCACUGGAAUUUUCUUCUUCUCUAAGCUACACAGAAACAUGACCACUUCCAAUGAACAGGCUUCACCAAGAACUCUCCAAACGUGUGGGGUUUCUUUAGUUUGUCAAUGAAACAAGCAACUUUGUAGGAUGCUUCUGAAAUGCUGCUGCUGUGAUAGGGCUAACCACGUUUUGAUAAAGUUUAUUCUCUUCUGAGAAUAAACCCAAGGGGCUUUCCUAGCCUUGCUGGCUCCAUGCUUCUGGCAUUGAGAAGCUUCUCACCAAGCAUCAACAGGCCUAUUUUGCCAGAGAAAGCCAGAGAACACCUCAGCUUCCUUGUAUUCUAUUUGCCCUGACAUUACUCAACUUCAGCAAGACCCAAAGUUAACAAAGACCCCUGGCAUGGGCCUAAUGGCAGGAUAUGUUCUGUGAUUUCUGUUAGUGGAAAAUGAAUGUAACACAGAGAUCAUGUGGGCUGUGAGGCCCCAUGUAGCCUCCAGCACCCUUUCUUCCUGGAGCAUAAAUCUGGAGGGAAAUGGUGCCAUAUUAGGUUUGUUUUACAAAGAUUAUUUUCAAAGAGGAAGACGAUCAAAGCAAACAGAAAAGAACCCCCAGUGUGCAGGCCACAGGUGUGUGGGGGUUAAAACUGGAUGGGAAGGAGAGGGGGAAGUCUCGAACUCAAGGGGGCAAAACCGUGGGGGCUUCAUUUGCCCCAGGAACUAUAAAAGGCCAAUGGACUGUUUUAGGAAGAAAGUAGUUCAGCACAGGUAGGAGCAGAGAAAGGGCUCUCACAGCAAACUUUGCCAGCUUUCCAAUUUUUCCGUACAUCAGGCCCCUUUUUGUUCUUUGCUUAGAACCAUCAAGCUUCCCGUUAAGGCAUCCAGCGCGGCCCUUUCCAUAUAUGUGGUGGUUUUCUGUUUUGUUUUAAUAAAGAAAAAUGCUUAUAAGCAUUGUACACAUUGUACACUGGAAAUCUGCCAAGUGAGUAGGUUUUAGGUGCUCUUACCACACAUACCCCCCACCACACACACACACACACACAUACACAAGAACAAGGUCACGUUAAUGGUGGAUGUAAUAUGUUAACGGUGUGUUAAUUUGCUUGUCUGUGGUAAUCACUCCAUAUAUGUAUGUCAAAACAUCUUGUUGCCUAUCUUAAAUACAGACAAUAAAAAAAGAAAAUAUUGGCUGGGUGUGAUGGCUCUUGCCUGUAAUCCCAGCAUUUUGGGAGGCCAAGGAGGGAGGAUCACAGGCCAGGAGUUCGAGACCAGACUGGGUAACAUAGCAAGACCCCAUCUCUACAAGAACAUUUUAAAAAGAAAAUCUUUAAAAAGUUAAAGAGAAAUAUUGAAGAACAGUGAAAACAUGUGUUAUAGAAAUUAUUUUAGUUCUAUUUAAAAACUUUUGUUUGUAAAUAAAAAUAUUUGAUGUUUACAUUC
This is a long non-coding RNA of Piliocolobus tephrosceles (Ugandan red Colobus), 2086 nucleotides long. RefSeq lists it as uncharacterized. The transcript has 3 exons. The record is from RefSeq and is a predicted model, not a curated record. NCBI's taxonomy places the organism in Eukaryota, Metazoa, Chordata, Mammalia, Primates, Cercopithecidae.